This 939-nucleotide ribosomal RNA is filed under the name uncultured bacterium. Its description in RNAcentral is "bacterial SSU rRNA". It matches the Rfam family "Bacterial small subunit ribosomal RNA", at positions 69 to 1021 of the family's 1533-position model. The record is from RNAcentral.
UUAAGUUUACUUUUGGAAGCGGUUAGUGGCGGACUGGUGAGUAACACGUAAGCAACCUGCCUAACAGAGGGGAAUAACAGUGAGAAAUCAUUGCUAAUACCGCAUAUGCUCACAGCACCACAUGGUGCAGUGAGGAAAGGAGUAAUCCGCUGAUAGAUGGGCUUGCGUCUGAUUAGUUAGUUGGUGGGGUAACGGCCUACCAAGACGAUGAUCAGUAGCCGGACUGAGAGGUUGAACGGCCACAUUGGGACUGAGAUACGGCCCAGACUCCUACGGGAGGCAGCAGUCGGGAAUAUUGCGCAAUGGAGGAAACUCUGACGCAGUGACGCCGCGUGCAGGAAGAAGGUUUUCGGAUUGUAAACUGCUUUAGACAGGGACGAAACAAAUGACGGUACCUGUAGAAUAAGCUCCGGCUAACUACGUGCCAGCAGCCGCGGUAAUACGUAGGGAGCGAGCGUUAUCCGGAUUUAUUGGGUGUAAAGGGUGCGUAGACGGAUUAGCAAGUUAGUUGUGAAAUCCCCGGGCUCAACCUGGGAAUUGCAACUAAAACUACCAAUCUUGAGUACUGGAUGGGAUUGCGGAAUUCCUAGUGUAGCGGUGAAAUGCGUAGAUAUUAGGAAGAACACCGGUGGCGAAGGCGGCAAUCUGGACAGCAACUGACGUUGAGGCACGAAAGUGUGGGGAGCAAACAGGAUUAGAUACCCUGGUAGUCCACACCGUAAACGAUGGAUACUAGGUGUUGGGGAUGAACAAUCCUCGGUGCCGUCGCAAACGCAGUAAGUAUCCCACCUGGGGAGUACGGCCGCAAGGUUGAAACUCAAAGGAAUUGACGGGGGCCCGCACAAGCAGUGGAGUAUGUGGUUUAAUUCGAAGCAACGCGAAGAACCUUACCAAGGCUUGACAUAUACAGGAAUAUAUUAGAAAUAGUAUAGCUCUCCG